Molecule: long non-coding RNA, 324 nt
Filed under: Mytilus galloprovincialis (Mediterranean mussel)
Lineage: Eukaryota; Metazoa; Mollusca; Bivalvia; Mytilida; Mytilidae
Source: RNAcentral
AUAAAAUUGAACACCGUGUAGUUUGUUGUAAUAAAAAUGGAUCAUGUCUAUGGACUUUUAAAGAUAAACUUAUUUUGAAUGAACCGGAAGGUAUGGCUGUUGAUAAAAUUGGAAACGUGUAUGUUGUUGGAUUCCGCUCGUCCAAUGUAAUCAUAAUAUCAAGCGAUGGAAAGAAUCACAAACAAAUCCUAACUAAAGAUGACGGUCUAUUAUCUCUAUCUGCUAUUUUCCUUGAUACAGAGAACAAAAAACUGCUUGUCGCAAAUACCAAGAAAACUGCGUUCGUUUACAAUAUUUCAUGAGAACUAUUAAAACAAAUGCACG